AUUCAGGAGGAAUGAGUGCAAAGUUUGUAUAUUAAUAGCUACACUUUUGGUGGUGUUUUUGGUAAGUGUGGUGGCCUUUUUCUGUGGGCUUUGGGUGGAACUUCCUGACCACUUGAGUUGAAGUGAUAACAGGCUUUGCAGUUCUUCAGCAAAGUGCACUGUCACUUACAGACCAUUGACAACCCCAGAAAUGAACAGACACAUUGACAGUUCUUCAGGAAGAUGAUCUCUUUUGUUCUGGUCCAUCAUAUCGAAAGUCAGGGGUAUUUGAACCCAGUGUAAUUAGAGCAGCUUUCGUGAGUAUGUAACUAAUUCAGUUACAUACUUCCAUUAAGGAGAACAUAUUUUGAUAAAAUAAAGACUUCAUAGAAUAACCUUUGUUUGUUCCUUCCUUCCUUCCUGCCUGCCUGCCUUUCUUUUUUUCUUUCUUUUUCUUUCAGGAAAGCCUUGAAUGCAGUCUUUCCACUACCACAAAUUAUGCAUAGGAAAUGCCAGGAGUCAGCAUAUCCUGGAGUGUCAAAAGUAAGUCUCGGCAUGGGGACACCUACAUGAUCAUAUAUCCUCUGCCAGUGCGGGGAUUACAGAUGUCCAUGAGACCAUGCCUGGCUUCUUAUCAACUCCUCCUGAUUGUACAUCAAAAUCUCUAAACCCUUCAAGUUGUUCUUAAUAUAAAGAAGAGGGCUGGGUGUUACAGGAAGCAGAGCUGAGAUGAAGCAGAUGAAUCCUGUCCAGGACAGUUGGCCUUGAUCUUUGUAUCUGUUCCCAAUCAAAAUAAUAGAGUUAGAGUCAACAGGACCCAAAGAGAUCAUGUGAAUAUUCAUGUUGAAAAGGAACUUUCUGGGCCAUUUGAAAGACAGAUUUCCUGUUUUGUUGCCCAGUUGGUUCUGAGACACGAAAGCCUUGGGUCUCCCAGACUAAGAUCUGCAGCCCUGAGAAACAGUUAUGGUUCGUUCUUCCAUACUGCCCGGCAGAAGACGUCUUUGAAUGAACAUCAGAAAGAAACGAUAAAGGUGAUAAGAGGAGGGGAGGUCUUCAGAGAAAGACAAAUUAUUGUGCUUAAGGCAGACAGCCAAUCUAGCGAACCUCAUUCCACC
Molecule: long non-coding RNA, 1094 nt
Filed under: Mus musculus (house mouse)
Lineage: Eukaryota; Metazoa; Chordata; Mammalia; Rodentia; Muridae
Description: predicted gene, 32913
Source: RNAcentral